GCCAGGAGUGGUGGCGCAUGCUUGUAAUUCAAGAAGCUAGGAAGGCUGAGGCAGGAGGAUUGUGAGUUCAAAGCCAGCCUCAGCAAUGUUGAGGCACUAAGCAACUUAGUGAGACCCUGUCUCUA
This 125-nucleotide small RNA is filed under the name Marmota monax (woodchuck). The record is from RNAcentral. Lineage: Eukaryota; Metazoa; Chordata; Mammalia; Rodentia; Sciuridae.